This 376-nucleotide unclassified non-coding RNA is filed under the name uncultured bacterium. Its description in RNAcentral is "contains 16S-23S intergenic spacer region". The record is from RNAcentral.
UCCUGGUUAACCCAGGCAGUCUCAUUAGAGUUCCCACCUUCACGUGUUGGCAACUAAUGAUAAGGGUUGCGCUCGUUGCGGGACUUAACCCAACACCUCACGGCACGAGCUGACGACAGCCAUGCAGCACCUGUGCACCGGCCCCGAAGGGAAACGCCAUCUCUGGCGUCGUCCAGUGCAUGUCAAGCCUGGGUAAGGUUCUUCGCGUUGCAUCGAAUUAAACCACAUGCUCCACUGCUUGUGCGGGUCCCCGUCAAUUCUUUUGAGUUUUAACCUUGCGGCCGUACUCCCCAGGCGGAUCACUUCACGCGUUAGCUACGGUACCAGGAGAUCGCUCCCCCAACACCUAGUGAUCAUCGUUUAGGGCGUGGACUAC